Molecule: ribosomal RNA, 408 nt
Filed under: uncultured bacterium
Lineage: Bacteria
Description: partial 16S ribosomal RNA
Rfam family: Bacterial small subunit ribosomal RNA
Source: RNAcentral
GACGAACGCUGGCGGCGUGCUUAACACAUGCAAGUCGAACGAAGUGGCGAACGGGUGAGUAACGCGUAAACAACCUGCCCUUCAGAGGGGGACAACAGUUGGAAACGACUGCUACUACCGCAUACGGAUGGAGGGGAUUGCGUCGGAUUAGCUAGUUGGAGGGGUAACGGCCCACCAAGGCGAGUAUCAGUAGCCGGGCUGAGAGGUAGUACGGCCACAUUGGGACUGAGACACGGCCCAGACUCCUACGGGAGGCAGCAGUGGGGAAUCGUCCGCAAUGGAGGAAAGUCUGACGGAGCAAAGCGGCGUGAGUGAGGACGGGCUUCGGGUUGUAAAGCUUUGUUAAUCGGGACGCGGUACCGGAAUAGAAAGCCACGGCUAACUACGUGCCAGCAGCCGCGGUAAUAC